GGCGACCUGAGGAUGAGCCUUCAAGUGUUGUGUGUGCUGGUCCUGUUUCUCUGUCCGAGCACUGAUGAGAUGGUUGUCGACAAAAAAAGAAUGUCGAGAUGGCAUUCAUAUCGGAUGGAAAAAGGAGAAAAUCUCAUCAUCCGGAACUUCAAAAGGCAUUCAGAUGGGACAUUCGGCAGCGACUUGACCCAAUACCUUGAUAAAAUGAAAGCGAAAAAUUUUGUAGAAUGGCUGAGCAGCACCAAACAACAAUGCUGCCAUAAUGAACUGCUCGGCCUUGCAGCAGAAGUCUAAUACAGCUCAGAUUACAUUUGCAGUAUGCUUGAUACUGCUUUACGUCAUCCAGCUGCAUGAAAGAAGAUGAAUCCUCUGCACCAACAUAGAAUAUUGUUGUGAGUUUAUUUAUGCUAUAUAUAUUUUUUAAUUAAAGGUGCAUUUCGCACAUUGCUGUUUCCAAAUGUUGAAGAAAAAAAUGUAAUGUGUUUUUUAUAUGAAUACUUUUUGUUUUGAAAUACACGUCGACCGACUUAAUGUUUUUUCAAUUGUAAUCAUGUUGAAAUACUGACCACUGAUUCUGUUUUUGCCACUUUUGAUUUUUAAACUUUUUUCAAACUUUUUUUCUGAAUGCAUUGUGGCUUUUACCUGUAUGCCGUUGUGAUGCACACAAUGACAAUAAUUAAAAGGUUAAAUAAUGUGUUUUUAUAUUGACAUUGAUUAUAAGUACUGUCUUUUUAAUAGCUUAGUACCGAAUGAAUGAAUAGACAAGGCAGUAGUGAUGGCACAUUUGAUGCAUGCACAGGGAUGACCAGGCGUGGGUGCUGUUGUUCAGCAAAUCAGAAUAAAACAAGCAGCCAAACAUCUCUCAAUGCAGGCUGAUAAAGGCAAUGGGUGUGAAGCAUAGACUGUGGUGUGAAGGCAUGCAUCUGCUUUGUUUGCUUUUACAGUGGAUGCUGUAUAUAGCGUGCACUUUGUUCACACACAUUUACAUUGUUGCACAAUGAGGUUAUGCAAUUAGGCUGUCAGAAAAAUAUAGUAAGUAACAGAGUUAACAUUGUAUUGGAUAGUAGGGCAGGUGUAUUUUAGAUAGGUGGAGAGAAACUGUUGUAACUGCUUGGGAUUUGUUAUGUAUAUGUGUGUGCUGGUAAUGGAUUGGUGGGAGGUUAGUUAUGUCUGCCUCAUUGAGGAAUGUAAUGUAUGGGGGUGAAGCUGUGUUGGCUCUUGGCUUCUGGCCAUAUAGCCAUGAUGGAGAGCUCCCUCUUUGGG
Molecule: long non-coding RNA, 1263 nt
Organism: Notothenia coriiceps (black rockcod)
Lineage: Eukaryota; Metazoa; Chordata; Actinopteri; Perciformes; Nototheniidae
Exons: 3
Source: RefSeq, a predicted model, not a curated record